Molecule: ribosomal RNA, 406 nt
Filed under: uncultured bacterium
Lineage: Bacteria
Description: partial 16S ribosomal RNA
Rfam family: Bacterial small subunit ribosomal RNA
Source: RNAcentral
AUUGAACGCUGGCGGCAGGCCUAACACAUGCAAGUCGAGCGAGCGGCGGACGGGUGAGUAAUGUCUGGGAAACUGCCUGAUGGAGGGGGAUAACUACUGGAAAAGGUAGCUAAUACCGCAUAACAUCAGAUGUGCCAAGAUGGGAGUAGCUAGUCGGUGGGGUAACGGCUCACCUAGGCGACGAUCCCUAGCUGGUCUGAUAGGAUGACCAGCCACACUGGAACGGUGACACGGUGCAGACUCCUACGGGAGGCAGCAGUGGGGAAUAUUGCACAAUGGGCGCAAGCCUGAUGCAGCAAUGCCGCGUGUGGGAAGAAGGCCUUCGGGUUGUAAAGCACUUUCAGCGGGGAGGCGUUACCCGCAGAAGAAGCACCGGCUAACGCCGUGCCAGCAGCCGCGGUAAUUC